RNAcentral lists this transfer RNA (74 nucleotides) under Marmota monax (woodchuck). RNAcentral describes it as "tRNA.Ala". The record is from RNAcentral. Lineage: Eukaryota; Metazoa; Chordata; Mammalia; Rodentia; Sciuridae.
CUGGGGUUGGGCUCAGCGGUAGAGCGUUUGCCUAGCAUGUGAGACACGCUGGGUUCAAUCCUCAGCACCACAUA